GAUGAACGCUGGCGGCGUGCCUAAUACAUGCAAGUCGAGCGAACAGACGAGGAGCUUGCUCCUCUGACGUUAGCGGCGGACGGGUGAGUAACACGUGGAUAACCUACCUAUAAGACUGUGAUAACUUCGGGAAACCGGAGCUAAUACCGGAUAAUAUAUUGAACCGCAUGGUUCAAUAGUGAAAGACGGUUUUGCUGUCACUUAUAGAUGGAUCCGCGCCGCAUUAGCUAGUUGGUAAGGUAACGGCUUACCAAGGCGACGAUGCGUAGCCGACCUGAGAGGGUGAUCGGCCACACUGGAACUGAGACACGGUCCAGACUCCUACGGGAGGCAGCAGUAGGGAAUCUUCCGCAAUGGGCGAAAGCCUGACGGAGCAACGCCGCGUGAGUGAUGAAGGUCUUCGGAUCGUAAAACUCUGUUAUUAGGGAAGAACAAAUGUGUAAGUAACUAUGCACGUAUUGACGGUACCUAAUCAGAAAGCCACGGCUAACUACGUG
RNAcentral lists this ribosomal RNA (497 nucleotides) under uncultured bacterium. RNAcentral describes it as "partial 16S ribosomal RNA". It matches the Rfam family "Bacterial small subunit ribosomal RNA", at positions 28 to 507 of the family's 1533-position model. The record is from RNAcentral.